CCUACGGGUGGCAGCAGUGAGGAAUAUUGGUCAAUGGACGAGAGUCUGACCCAGCCACGUAGCGUGAAGGAUGACUGCCCUAUGGGUUGUAAACUUCUUUUAUAUGGGAGUAAAAUGUUCCACGUGUGUGAUUUUGUAUGUACCAUAUGAAUAAGGAUCGGCUAACUCCGUGCCAGCCGCCGCGGUAAUACGGAGGAUCCGAGCGUUAUCCGGAUUUAUUGGGUUUAAAGGGAGCGUAGGUGGAUUGUUAAGUCAGUUGUGAAAGUUUGCGGCUCAACCGUAAAAUGGCAGUUGAAACUGGCAGUCUUGAGUACAGUAGAGGUGGGCGGAAUUCGUGGUGUAGCGGUGAAAUGCUUAGAUAUCACGAAGAACUCCGAUUGCGAAGGCAGCUCACUGGACUGCAACUGACACUGAGGCUCGAAAGUGUGGGUAUCAAACAGGAUUAGAUACCCCGGUAGUC
RNAcentral lists this ribosomal RNA (460 nucleotides) under uncultured bacterium. Its description in RNAcentral is "partial 16S ribosomal RNA". It matches the Rfam family "Bacterial small subunit ribosomal RNA", at positions 338 to 795 of the family's 1533-position model. The record is from RNAcentral.